CAAGUCGAGCGGAGAUGAGGUGCUUGCACCUUAUCUUAGCGGCGGACGGGUGAGUAAUGCUUAGGAAUCUGCCAUUUAGUGGGGGACAACAUUCCGAAAGGAAUGCUAAUACCGCAUACGUCCUACGGGAGAAAGCAGGGGAUCUUCGGACCUUGCGCUAAAUGAUGAGCCUAAGUCGGAUUAGCUAGUUGGUGGGGUAAAGGCCUACCAAGGCGACGAUCUGUAGCGGGUCUGAGAGGAUGAUCCGCCACACUGGGACUGAGACACGGCCCAGACUCCUACGGGAGGCAGCAGUGGGGAAUAUUGGACAAUGGGCGGAAGCCUGAUCCAGCCAUGCCGCGUGUGUGAAGAAGGCCUUUUGGUUGUAAAGCACUUUAAGCGAGGAGGAGGCUACUAGUACUAAUACUACUGGAUAGUGGACGUUACUCGCAGAAUAAGCACCGGCUAACUCUGUGCCAGCAGCCGCGGUAAUACAGAGGGUGCGAGCGUUAAUCGGAUUUACUGGGCGUAAAGCGUGCGUAGGCGGCUUUUUAAGUCGGAUGUGAAAUCCCCGAGCUUAACUUGGGAAUUGCAUUCGAUACUGGGAAGCUAGAGUAUGGGAGAGGAUGGUAGAAUUCCAGGUGUAGCGGUGAAAUGCGUAGAGAUCUGGAGGAAUACCGAUGGCGAAGGCAGCCAUCUGGCCUAAUACUGACGCUGAGGUACGAAAGCAUGGGGAGCAAACAGGAUUAGAUACCCUGGUAGUCCAUGCCGUAAACGAUGUCUACUAGCCGUUGGGGCC
RNAcentral lists this ribosomal RNA (778 nucleotides) under Acinetobacter junii. Its description in RNAcentral is "bacterial SSU rRNA". It matches the Rfam family "Bacterial small subunit ribosomal RNA", at positions 58 to 830 of the family's 1533-position model. The record is from RNAcentral. Lineage: Bacteria; Pseudomonadati; Pseudomonadota; Gammaproteobacteria; Moraxellales; Moraxellaceae.